GGAGGGCAGAAGUCCCAAGUGCCCUUCGCCCGGAGACUUCCCAGCACAGCGGCGAGGGUGUGACUGCAGUCCAGUUUCAGGAAUCAGAGCCCCAGCCUGCUGUAACCAGAUGGGCCGCCACCUUCUGUUUGAAAUGUGACUUGCCUGCAGAGAUUGGGAUUCUUGUUCUCUGGAAGAGGAACCAAGCAGUCAUGCCUGAUCUUGGGAGGAGACUUGAAGUUUAGGGUCAAAGGUUAAGGGGCAGCAGCUGGUCUGGUCCCUGGAGGUGUUAAUCAGAGGCGCCUGGGUGGACACAGGCCCAAAUCAGAAGUAGAGGGUGGCUUUCUAGAUAUUCAAAGAUGGCAACUUUAAGAUCUGUAGUGGCUUUGUAAUUUGAUGCUUUUAUUCUGUUUUCAAAUUAAAAGGAGGCACAGCAACGUUGAUAAUA
This is a long non-coding RNA of Apodemus sylvaticus (European woodmouse), 427 nucleotides long. RefSeq lists it as uncharacterized. The record is from RefSeq and is a predicted model, not a curated record. The transcript has 2 exons. NCBI's taxonomy places the organism in Eukaryota, Metazoa, Chordata, Mammalia, Rodentia, Muridae.